Molecule: long non-coding RNA, 339 nt
Filed under: Helianthus annuus (common sunflower)
Lineage: Eukaryota; Viridiplantae; Streptophyta; Magnoliopsida; Asterales; Asteraceae
Description: hypothetical non coding rna
Source: RNAcentral
UGGAUUCGAUCCUGCAACUUCCAACUCGUUUUCAAAUGGAGUGAAGAAACACAUCCAUAGAUCUUGACCUUGCCCCUGAACAUAAGUUCUCAGCCUUUCUUUCCACCAUCCCCAAUCAUUGAUGUGAUUUAGUUUUGGCGGCUUUGUGCUUGUACCAGUUUCACUGUCGUUCUGCAUCAUGGCUUGAAUGCUGCUGCUUUGAUUUGUGACCAAUGCCCAUUGAUUUGCAGUUAUCAUUGCAGCUUGAGCUGAUGAUUGUGGAGUCAAAGUUGUUGUAGUCCACGCGGAUGGAUCCCACUGACCGUUUGUUCCCAUUUUAUAAAAAUUAAUAUAUUAAGU